CCUGCAAGGCUCCAGCCACUGUAAUAGUAGCCUGAUUAGAGCCUAAGCCACUCCGAGUCCUUGCAGAUCUCUCAGUUUGCAGAAUGAUGGCACUGUACACAACAGCUGAGUACUCUGAAACUUUAGUGUUUAUUUUCAGCCUAUGAUAUAGACUCUGCCUUGCUUUUAAGCAGGAGCACGAUAGAAAAUGCUUCUGCAAGAAGGAAUUAAUGAAGAGAACUGCAAAAGAAUGUGUGACGACCUCUCCUGACACGGCAAAAACUUUCCGCCCAUGUCACGACAAAGGGGAGAAGCUUUAAUGAAACCACUGCAGCUGUUCUCCUCUUAAAAGCAAGAUCAGCAAUCCCAGUUUGACAAAGCUACUGUGCUAUAUGUUUCUUUUGUUUUUGUUGUUGUUUUAGGAAAAUAUUGUAAUAAUUAUGCAAGAUAGGCAUGUUUCUUAGGCUACCUCUGCAAACAAAUUUGGCACCCUUUUUUUUU
Long non-coding RNA from Oxyura jamaicensis (ruddy duck), 480 nucleotides. RefSeq lists it as uncharacterized. The transcript is spliced from 3 exons. NCBI's taxonomy places the organism in Eukaryota, Metazoa, Chordata, Aves, Anseriformes, Anatidae. The record is from RefSeq and is a predicted model, not a curated record.